This 138-nucleotide non-coding RNA is filed under the name Sporolactobacillus inulinus. RNAcentral describes it as "FMN sequence". It matches the Rfam family "FMN riboswitch aptamer (RFN element)". From Rfam's summary of the family: The RFN element is a highly conserved domain that is found frequently in the 5'-untranslated regions of prokaryotic mRNAs that encode for flavin mononucleotide (FMN) biosynthesis and transport proteins. The record is from Rfam by way of RNAcentral. Lineage: Bacteria; Bacillati; Bacillota; Bacilli; Caryophanales; Sporolactobacillaceae. RNAcentral also lists the same sequence under 1 other name.
UAUAUUCUUCGGGGCAGGGUGUAAUUCCCGACCGACGGUAAUAAGCAAGUAAGCUUAAAGUCCGUGACCCGCAAUUUUGCGGUGGAUCUAGUGAGAGUCUAGAACCGACAGUUAAAGUCUGGAUGGGAGAAGAAUUUA